This is a long non-coding RNA of Thunnus maccoyii (southern bluefin tuna), 151 nucleotides long. RefSeq lists it as uncharacterized. The record is from RefSeq and is a predicted model, not a curated record. The transcript is spliced from 3 exons. Lineage: Eukaryota; Metazoa; Chordata; Actinopteri; Scombriformes; Scombridae.
GGGCCAAAGCUAACACCACAGCUGUGUCUUGCAAGAAAGACUUGACUACAAACCCAGCAAAGAACUCCAUUGGACCUGACAGCUCAAAGCUGAGCAAACCCCAUCAGGUGAUGAAGUCCAUGAGAUAUGGUUCAAAGCAUAAAAAAGCUAG